RNAcentral lists this ribosomal RNA (250 nucleotides) under uncultured bacterium. RNAcentral's name for it is "partial 16S ribosomal RNA". It matches the Rfam family "Bacterial small subunit ribosomal RNA", at positions 524 to 773 of the family's 1533-position model. The record is from RNAcentral.
UACAGAGGUCCCAAGCGUUGUUCGGAUUCACUGGGCGUAAAGGGUGCGUAGGUGGCCGGGUAAGUCUGAUGUGAAAUCUCCAAGCUCAACUUGGAAACGGCAUCGGAUACUAUCCGGCUCGAGGAUCGGAGGGGAGACUGGAAUACUUGGUGUAGCAGUGAAAUGCGUAGAUAUCAAGUGGAACACCAGUGGCGAAGGCGAGUCUCUGGACGAUUCCUGACGCUGAGGCACGAAAGCCAGGGGAGCAAAC